GAUUCUCCUUUCAAUACAUUUAAUUUACUACUUCGUAUUUCUGGGAUUCCAGCUUCCAUGGGAACUCAUGUUUGUUUUGGCGGUAUGCAUAAUUCGUUGUGCGGCUUCUCUUAUAUUCCUCACGUAUGUGCUUUCAUUCAUCUUUCGCAAGUGGUGAAAAAAUAAUGGCUUUUGGUCUUUUGGCUUUUUUAUUGUCUUAAUAUGUGUAUUCACAAUUCCGGUAUCAACUAAGUAUGAAAAACCCAACUUAAUUUUGUGCAUGAUUUUCAUACCUUCCUUCACUUUGCUGGGAUAUGUCAUGUUAUUGAUCCAGCUCAACUUUAUGUAUAUGAGAAACUUGGACAGUCUGGACAAUAGAAUAAAUGAAGUCAAUAAAACCAUUCUUUUAACAACCUUAAUACCAUACCUUCAGAGUGUUAUUUUCCUUUUUGUCAUAAGGUGUCUGGACAUGAAGUAUGAAAUUGAAAUAAUGAAUAAAGACCCAGUUUUCAGAGUCUCUCCACGACGUAGAGAAACUCAUCCCUAUCCAGAAGAGCCUGAAGAAGAAGAUGUUCAAGCUGAAAGAGUCCAAGCAGCAAAUGCACUCACUACUCCAAACUUGGAGGAGGAGCCAGUCAUAACUGCAAGCUGUUUACACAAGGAAUAUUAUGAGGCAAAGAAAAGUUGCUUUUCAACAAGAAAGAAGAAAAUAGCCAUCAGAAAUGUUUCCUUUUGUGUUAAAAAGGUGAAGUUUUGGGAUGAGUAGGACACAGUGGAUCUGGUAAAAGUACUUCCAUUAAAAUGACAACUGGGUUCACAAAGCCAACUGCAGAAGCGGUGGUGUUACAAGGCAACAGAGCAUCAGUAAAGCAACAGCAUGACAACAGCCUCAAGUUCUUGGGGUACUGCCCUCAGAAGAACUCACUGUGGCCCAAGCUUACAAUGAAAGAGCACCUGGAGUUGUAUGCAGCUGUGAAAGGACUGGGCAAAGAAUAUGCUGCUCUUAGUAUUUCAUGAUUGGUGGAAGCUCUUAAGCUCCAGGAGCAACUUAAGGCUCCCGUGAAAACUCUAUCAGAGAGAUAAAAGAGAAAGCUAUGCUUUGUGCUGAGCAUCCUGGGGAACCCAUCAGUGGUGCUUCUAGAUGAGCUGUUCACCAGGAUGUACCCCGAGGGGCAGCAGCAAAUGUGGCAGAUACUUCAGGCUACCGUUAAAAACAAGGAGAGGGGCGCCCUCUUGACCACCCAUUACAUGUCAGAGGCUAAGGCUGUGUGUGGCCAUCAUGGUGUCAGGAACGCUAGGUUGUAUUGGUUCCAUUCAACAUCUGAAAAACAAGUUUGGUAAAGAUUUUUACUAGAAAUAAAAAAAUGAAAAAACCUACUCAGGUGGAAGCUCUCCACACAGAGAUUUUGAAGCUUUUCCCACAGGCUGCUCAGCAGGAAAGACGUUCCUCUUUAAUGGCCUAUAAGUUACCUGUGGAGGAUGUCCACCCUGUCUCAGGCCUUUUUCAAAGUAGAGGCAGUGAAACAGACCUUCAAUGUGGAGGAAUACAGCCUCUCUCAGGGCACCUUGGAGCAGGUAUUCUUAGAACUCCGUACAGAGCAGGCGCUGGGAAAUGUUGAUGAUAGAAGUACAGCAGUUUGAUGGAAACUUCUCCCACAGGAAGCCUCUUAAAACGAAGAACCUCCUAACAUUCAAUUUUAAGUCCUACUACAUUGUUUCCAUAAUUCUACAAGAAUGUUUCCUUUUACUUCAGUUAACAAAAAAAAAAAAAAAAAAAAAUUCAGUAGUUUAAACAUUCAAUAAUGAUUAAAGUUUUCAUUUUUAAAAAUUUUAGGAUGAAGGAAACAAGGAAAUACAGGGAAAAGUAGUAGACAAAAUUAACAAAAUCAGACAUGUUAUUCAUCCCCAACAUGGGUCUAUUUUGUGCUUAAAAAUAAUUUUAAAAAUCAUAUAAUAUUAGGUUGGUUUUUGGUUAUUAUCAAUAGUUAACACUGAGCACAUUUUACAAAUAAAAAAAUUUUUUAGCCUAAAUUUCAAAUGUAUCAGCUAUUUUUAAACAUUAGUUACUCAGAUUAUAAUUUAAUG
Molecule: RNA transcript, 2064 nt
Organism: Mandrillus leucophaeus (drill)
Lineage: Eukaryota; Metazoa; Chordata; Mammalia; Primates; Cercopithecidae
Gene name: ATP-binding cassette sub-family A member 10 pseudogene
Exons: 1
Source: RefSeq, a predicted model, not a curated record